This 253-nucleotide ribosomal RNA is filed under the name uncultured bacterium. RNAcentral's name for it is "partial 16S ribosomal RNA". It matches the Rfam family "Bacterial small subunit ribosomal RNA", at positions 524 to 776 of the family's 1533-position model. The record is from RNAcentral.
GACGAACCGUGCGAACGUUGUUCGGAAUCACUGGGCUUAAAGGGCGCGUAGGCGGGCCAUCAAGUCCGGGGUGAAAUCUUUCGGCUCAACCGGAAAAGUGCCUUGGAUACUGGUGGUCUUGAGUGAGGUAGGGGCAUGUGGAACUUUCGGUGGAGCGGUGAAAUGCGUUGAUAUCGGAAGGAACUCCGGUGGCGAAAGCGACGUGCUGGACCUCUUCUGACGCUGAGGCGCGAAAGCUAGGGGAGCGAACGGG